Molecule: long non-coding RNA, 3750 nt
Organism: Scophthalmus maximus (turbot)
Lineage: Eukaryota; Metazoa; Chordata; Actinopteri; Pleuronectiformes; Scophthalmidae
Exons: 4
Source: RefSeq, a predicted model, not a curated record
AUACACGUCACGGUGACGCAACUUAACCUCUUAUCUGCCGGUUGUUCUUGUUUUUUUAGUGGCUGUAUUUCAGCGUCUUUUAUUUAUUACAGGGUGACACGUGGUCACUCUGAAGGUUUGACGUCUUGGGUUUGAUAUUUGUUUUGAUUUGAUGAAACAAACAAAACUGAGGUCAUUGUAAUCGACCCUAAACACCUCAGAGAAAGACUUUCUGAGCAUGUGGCGGCUGGUCACUGGAGGGAACUGAUUCGCCGCCCCACCUGCUGGAAAGUGUUUUUAUUUUUUUCCUUUUUAAAACAAAAUGGGGUUUUUUCAACAGUAACCGCUUAUUUCAACUUCCGUUUGAGAGACAAACUUUGGCGGAGAAACUACAGGUGAAAGAGUUGAGUCCAGAUCAACCUGAGCCCUCAAUUAGACAGCAGGCGAGUGGCGCUCCGCCGUUUACUCCAGCUGUCCUCCACCGUGAGCAUGACCCUGCGCAGGAACAUCAAGCAUCUCCUCCGUCCUCUACAACCAGACCAAGGAGCUGGACCUCCGUGCAAGCCGGCGUGCUGACGUACCCCCGGCAUCAUAACUCUUCAUCCACUACCUCUCGGGGCUGCCCCCGACUGCAUCACCUUCUUCGUCCUGUUGAUAUACACCAUCAUGUUAAUAUUCUCACCUUCAGCAAUCUUUCCGGGGUCCCUCCCGCGCAUCGCUCUCCAAACCGAGCGGAAUUCGAUACCACUUUGAAUAUGACACGAUUACACCUGAGGCCGCGAACGAGCCCACUACGCCACCUGACGCUCUUACUUUGGGAAACGUUUGUUGUACUUCAACCCGCACUUUGAAUGUGGACUUAGAAUAUUUUCUGAAAAUGUUUUAGCUUGCGGCUGCGCACCAUUAGUCGUCUAGACAGAGAAGUACAGAGUUCUCUCAGAUGCAUUAGAUUUGCGACUCGUGCAAGAAUCAAACUCCAUGCGCAGAAUUCGCAUGCAGCCAUUUAACCAGGUGAGCUACUCUGCCUGAUGGUGUGAACUGCCCACAAAGACUUUAUGAUUGUGUCCAUUGAUCUGGGGACUUAAAGUUUUUCUUUCGCCUGCAUGAUUAGAACUUGCGCCUCAGAGUUGAACUUAUACACACGAACCAGAUGUUUAACCAAGUGAGCUACUUGGACAAGUAGUUCUUAAGAUGUACUCUGACUUUCUAAUUGUUUGACUUGUUCAUGGGCCUGAGUUUCCUGUGUAAGACGCUGGUGAAGUGGUAAGAUUUUAGGCUCACAUGUGAAAGGUUGACAGACCAAGACCCACAAUUUUUGUGAUUUGGUUGAAACAAAACAUAUAUUUUAACUUAUUUCUGAGUAAUUAUGUUGAACAAAAACUUUGUGGCAGUGUUUUCAUUUAAAUAAAUCCUACAAAACACAAACAAGUUGACUGAAAACUUUAGCAGUUUGUCUUCUCGAAAGCCAACAGCAGGUUAAAUGCGAAAAAAACUGGGCUCAGGAAACUUCCUGAGUAAGACGCUGGUGAAGUGGUCAGAUUUUAGGCUCACAUGCAAAACAUUGACAGAUCAAGACCCACCAUUUUUGUGAUUUGGUUGUAAAAAAACAUGCAUUUAAACCUUUUUCUGAAUGAAGAUGUUGAACAGAAACUUUGUGGCAGUGUUUUCAUUUACAUAAAUCCUACAAAACACAAACAAGUUGACUGAAAACUAACCUUGACCCUACUUUGAUGAGAACAAAUUGGACCAAACAUAUUCAAUUGUGGUGUAGAGGCAAUGAUACAGGUAUGGACAUAUUAAGGUCCAUGGUUUGAUUCCCACCUUUAAUAUUUUUACAAUUUGUCCUCUAAAAUGUCUGCUGCUGCCUCAUUGAUGAGAAAAAACUAGAACAAAUGUAUUCAUUCCAUGGCGUAGAGGCAAUGAAACAGGUAUGGACAUAUAAAGUUCCAUAGUUCAAUUCCCAUGUUUAACAAUUUUACAAUUUGUCCUCUUGAAUCUGAUGUUCAUGAGAACAAACUGGACAAAAAUAAGUGUGAAAGAUGGCUGUUGAGCAAUAAGACACGAGGCUCUGAUGCGAGAGACCCAGGGUUCAAGACUUAGAGUGGACUCAAACAUGAAUGAAUGAAUGAGAUCCCGUAAUUGAAACACAGACCUGGAAUUUCCUCAAGUGUAGUGGAUAGAGGAAGGCAGGAGAAAAUGUCUGCGGGCAAUGUGAAGAGAUAUUCACUUGUGAAAUUAAGUACAAGACUCGGAGGAACAUUAGAUACACUGGUUGGCGUGGUGAGAGUGACGGUGCGCUGUGAAAUGAGGGGUUAAAAAAAAUGUAUUGAAUAAUAAAAACGAAAAAAUACUAUUUAAAUACAUUUUUAUAAAAAAUAUUUAAAAGAUUAAAAACGUCAGUUAAAAAAAUGCACCCCCCCCCCCCCCCCCCACCCCCUGUCAACCUUUCACUUUCAACCCAGUGCCUUUGCCACUGCACCACCAGGCUACACAUGUAAAAUUGACUUGACCCAAUUAAAAAAAGAAUUUGAAAAAUACACCUAUAAGUACAUUACAAGACAUGGACAGACACUAAUCUGCAUAUGCUUAAAGGCACAAAUUAAAUAAAAGUAUGUCAUAUUACAAGCCAUUACUUUCUCAGGUACAUUUUUUCAAUUUUUUAAAAUUCUCUGUAACGUUCAGGCAUUUUAGGUUUAGUAUCAUUCCGCUCAAAUUAUGGUAAAGAUAUUGAAAAUGAAAAGGAGAAUUGUAUAACGGAUCGUCUGAACACGAGAAUUUAAAAUCAGAGGUGGAGGGAUGGAGGGGACUCGCUGGUAAAGAUGGAUGAACUGUGGUUGAGGGUUGACGGGGUCCAGGGGUCCGUAGAUCAUGUGCACUGCAAGACAAGACGGAGGAGAGAGGGUCACAGUGGAGGAGUGAUACAUGAAGGGAAAUAUGUGAUAUACCAAUCGGAUUCAUCAUUUCAUCAAUUUAAAUGUUUCCUGAUUUCCUUUUCUUUGUAGCCACGUGAGCGGCUGUGUGAGGCUGUACUAUACACUAUACUAUAUUAUGAUGUUUUCUUCUCAUUUUAUGCCAUACUAUAUACAAUGUUGUUUUUUAUCAUUUUAUGUCAUACUAUACUAUGUCUUUUUUGCAGUUUUAUGCCUUAACUAUACAUAUGCCGUUUUUUUACAUUUUAUACCUUACUAUACUGUCUUUUUUAAUGUUUUUAUGUCAUAAUACUAUGCUGUUUUUUUCUCAUUUUGUGCCAUACUAUACUAUGCCGUUUUAUGCCUUACUAUACUAUGCCAUUUUUUUCACAUUUCACAUAUACUAUGUCGUUUUUUGCAGUUUUUAUGCCUUACUAAACAAACAAAAGUGAACAAAAUAAAUGAUUUGCUGGGUGGCUGCUGGGCAUAAUCAACAUCAAUUAAGACUGUUUUCGACAUCAAUGCAGCAGACAAGUGUAUCCAUUAAUCAGUACAUUUACUGUGUUACUGUACAGUUUCAUGUAUCUGUACUUUUCUUAAGGAGAUUUGUUUUCUACUCUACUACAUUUUUAUCAUUCAUUGCAUUACAUGUUUAUUUUUUACUGUAUAAUUCUGCCAAAUAACUCAAAGGACAGCUGGAUUAGUCCACUGAUCCAAUGCCAGCAGACAGGUAACAUAUUCACUCAUAACAGUCUCAGUGUUGCUGCUGGCCUUGUGUUACUUUGAAUACUUUAAGUAUAUUUAAAGGCAAAUACUGACUUUGUGUAAGUGGUUCUUUUAUUUGAGUAAAUCUCUGUCUGUU